Molecule: RNA transcript, 1111 nt
Organism: Tarenaya hassleriana
Lineage: Eukaryota; Viridiplantae; Streptophyta; Magnoliopsida; Brassicales; Cleomaceae
Gene name: oligosaccharyltransferase complex subunit ostc-like
Exons: 3
Source: RefSeq, a predicted model, not a curated record
GAAAUUCGAAAAUGCAAGAAAUCUACAUCCAUUCCGCGGAUAACUAUAUUCUAAUGUCCAAACAUGCCAACUCUGAUAAUUUUCUAGUACGGAUACCAUGGAAGAUCUGAGACCACACGGAGGAACCGACGAAAAUGGCGCCGAAACCCGAUCCCAAAACCCUAGCCGCCGCAUCCGCCAUAUCGGAUCAGUCUUCGAUCGAUCCGAUCUUCCACCUUCUCCUAAUUCUCCCGUUCUCCUUUCUCCGGCCGCCGCGUCUACGCCUCAAGCUCCCCUCCUUCACCCUCCCGUCGUCGAUGACGGUCUAUUCACUAAUCCUCCUCACCUACUUCUUGGUCGUCUCCGGCUUCGUCUACGACGUGAUCGUCGAGCCUCCAGGUAUCGGGUCGAUUCAGGAUCCAGUGACCGGGGCCGUACGACCGGUCGUGUUCAUGUCGGGUCGGGUCAACGGGCAGUACAUCAUCGAGGGCCUGUCUUCGGGGUUCAUGUUCGUGCUCGGAGGGAUCGGGAUCGUGAUGUUGGAUCUGGCGCUCGACAAGAACCGAGCCAAGAGCGUGAAGGUGUCUUACGCAACAGCUGGGAUCUCCUCUGUUGCGCUCGCUUAUAUCAUGAGUAUGCUCUUCAUUCGCAUCAAGACCAAAGUUGAGAUCUGAAGUGAUGUUUUGAGCUGAGGCUGAGGAACUAAGACACAGGAAAUCGAGUUCCUUUGAUUGUUGUCAUGUCUCAGAGGCAACUGAAACCCAAAUCCGGGUUCGAAUCAGAACCUGUAAAAACAAAAGGCACACUACAUUAUCGGACAAGGUUACCUGUCCGACGAGGAGGAGAGAGAACCGUGGACGAAGACGAUGAUGAUGCUCCGACUUGUCCUCAAGGGAGUUUUGUCACCGAACUAAACCGCGAGACUAUUCGAGAAAUAUGGCAGUAGUUCGAGGUGCUUUCACGGAAUUAACCAUUUGAAUCCACGUGUCAGAAGGAGAGAGACAAACCAAAUGAACUCACCACGUGGCCUUUUCCAUCGCGCCACGUGUCAUUCUGUAAGCCGAAUCUCUCUUCUCUGCGUCGUUUAUAAGAAAAAAUGUGCCCUUUUUCUUGGCAAAGGAGAGAGAGAUGG